Molecule: ribosomal RNA, 452 nt
Filed under: uncultured bacterium
Lineage: Bacteria
Description: bacterial SSU rRNA
Rfam family: Bacterial small subunit ribosomal RNA
Source: RNAcentral
UACGGGAGGCAGCAGUGGGGAAUAUUGCACAAUGGGCGCAAGCCUGAUGCAGCCAUGCCGCGUGUAUGAAAAAGGCCUUCGGGUUGUAAAGUACUUUCAGUCGUGAGGAAGGUGUUAAGGUUAAUAACCUUAGCAAUUGACGUUAGCGACAGAAGAAGCACCGGCUAACUCCGUGCCAGCAGCCGCGGUAAUACGGAGGGUGCGAGCGUUAAUCGGAAUUACUGGACGUAAAGGGCACGCAGGCGGUUAAUUAAGUUGGAUGUGAAAUCCCCGGGCUUAACCUGGAAUGGCAUUCAAGCUGGUUAGCUAGAGUCUUGUAGAGGGGGGUAGAAUUCCAUGUGUAGCGGUGAAAUGCGUAGAGAUGUGGAGGAAUACCGGUGGCGAAGGCGGCCCCUGGACAAAGACUGACGCUCAUGUGCGAAAGCGUGGGGAGCAAACAGGGAUUAGAUACC